This 62-nucleotide ribosomal RNA is filed under the name Candidatus Bipolaricaulota bacterium. Its description in RNAcentral is "partial 16S ribosomal RNA". Lineage: Bacteria; Candidatus Bipolaricaulota. The record is from RNAcentral.
AAUUGAGAGGGUAUGAUCCCGGCUCAGGGUGAACGCUAGCGGCGCGCCUAACACAUGCACGU